GUUGAAGAACGUAGCGAAAUGCGAUAAGUAAUGUGAAUUGCAGAAUUCAGUGAAUCAUCGAAUCUUUGAACGCACCUUGCGCCCUUUGGCCAUUCCGAAGGGCAUGCCUGUUUGAGUAUCAUGAACACCUCAACUCUUUAUGGUUUUCCAUGAUGAGCUUGGACUCUGGGGGUUUUGCUGGCUCACAGUCGGCUCCUCUAAAAUGAAUCAGCUUACCAGUGUUUGGUGGGUAUCAUGGGUGUGAUAACUAUCUACGCUUGUGGUUUUUCCACCAGGUAACCUUCAGCAGUGGAGGUUCGCUGGAGCUCAUAGAUGUCUCUCCUCAGUGAGGACAGCCCUUUGAAUGUUUGAUCUCAAAUCAGGUAGGACUACCCGCUGAACUUAAGCAUAUCAAUAAGCGGAGGA
Molecule: unclassified non-coding RNA, 405 nt
Filed under: soil metagenome
Description: partial contains 5.8S ribosomal RNA, internal transcribed spacer 2, and large subunit ribosomal RNA
Rfam family: 5.8S ribosomal RNA (bases 1-121)
Source: RNAcentral